Molecule: long non-coding RNA, 1864 nt
Filed under: Volvox carteri
Lineage: Eukaryota; Viridiplantae; Chlorophyta; Chlorophyceae; Chlamydomonadales; Volvocaceae
Description: long non-coding RNA (VCAR_LNC003497)
Source: RNAcentral
AAGCAUUCUCUAUCGCAAGGUAUCUCGCCUGUAGCCAACAAAAAUCGUAUGAGCACAAAUGAACACAAAUGACUUUGGCUGCCUCAAUUGACCGAGGCCAAAGCCACAUCAACGCCUCUCGGGCUAAAUUUAAUCUCAAAAGGUACCGCGUAUCUCAUAUUUGAAUUCUGAGAUGACAGCGUAUGAUAACUUGUACACCCAGCUUGUGUUACCAUUUGCCCGCACGGGCAUUCCGACUUGCCACCAGCAGGCCGACAAAUUUGCUUACAUUUCUCUAUGAAAUACGCAAGCUGCUCAUUUGUACAUUUACUUUAGCCAAUGGUCGGGGCCUCCGGAGAUUUGCGGUGUGCCGCAAUGAAGCUCGCGGCUGNNNNNNNNNNNNNNNNNNNNNNNNNNNNNNNNNNNNNNNNNNNNNNNNNNCUGCUGCUGAUACCGGGGCGAAGCCACUGAUUGAUCAGGCUGCUGGGGUCUACUCGCGUAAGGGUUAUACAGGCAUUAUUCACAAGUUGUUUUCUGACGUUAGCAAAAUUAAUUUGAAUCCAUACGGAGAGGAUGAUAACGAGGAGGUUGCGACGGACCCAGAGAUUGAAGUACUGGUACAAGCAACAUAUCCCGCUAGUGACGAUGAGGCUUUUAGUGACAGUGACUACGAGACCGACCUAGAACGAGAUACCGAUGAGUCGUCCGUGGAUGAGGAUUUUGUUGAUGAGGAGGAGGACGCGAAAGAGGAGCAGAAGGGAUGGGCGGCCGUGGCGGCCAAGGCGCUUGGCUUUCGCUGAGUGUGCCGUGCCCCCGUGUGUAAUCGUUCACGGGAAAAUAACAUAAAUAACGUUUUACAGGGCAAAAAAAUGCAAAGUGUCACUUUCCACAGCGUUUUAGCUAAGGACAGUGUCCCCGUAAAGGUUUUGCGGGGUUACGGGGGCCCCCGUAAGGUUUUCGGCCAGUACAGGAGCCUGGUACGGGGGCCCCUCCGUAAGGAAAAUUUGGGAGGUACGGGGGAUCCCGCAAGUUUCAGGAAAGUCAGUGUCGAACCCUGGAGUGCACAUAUUGAGGCAAUGACAAAGUGCAGCAUUCGUGGGGUAUUGCAAGCGCUCGCGUCGCAAGGGAUGGACCAGAAUGCCAGAGGGUGCUGUGCCAGGAAUGUUAACAUCGGCCAUAAUCUUCAAAUCUCCAUGGAGAGUGCGUCCUGGAAACGACGGCUCAGCCAGAAUAGGUAUAGGCUGACGUAAGGAAGGCUACAGACACGUUUCGCGCGUUGCAGGAUUCAGCACAUUUUUGGGCGGGGCCCCAGGGCGAAGCGCCCAGGGAGGCCCCGACCUGUAGGAUUGCCCAUGUCCGUGCGUGCAUGUGGCCGUGUGGCCGUGUGUGUGUAACAGACCAAACAUAAUAUCUCGCCCGGCUGAAACGCGUUAUUGGUACUAUAAAGCAUUCUCUAUCGCAAGGUAUCUCGCCUGUAGCCAACAAAAAUCGUAUGAGCACAAAUGAACACAAAUGACUUUGGCUGCCUCAAUUGACCGAGGCCAAAGCCACAUCAACGCCUCUCGGGCUAAAUUUAAUCUCAAAAGGUACCGCGUAUCUCAUAUUUGAAUUCUGAGAUGACAGCGUAUGAUAACUUGUACACCCAGCUUGUGUUACCAUUUGCCCGCACGGGCAUUCCGACUUGCCACCAGCAGGCCGACAAAUUUGCUUACAUUUCUCUAUGAAAUACGCAAGCUGCUCAUUUGUACAUUUACUUUAGCCAAUGGUCGGGGCCUCCGGAGAUUUGCGGUGUGCCGCAAUGAAGCUCGCGGCUGAGGGGCGGAUUCGGGGCGGAUUCGGGGAUAAACAUCACAGACAGCACCGAAAUUCACCCAGCUUUCGUUAC